RNAcentral lists this ribosomal RNA (446 nucleotides) under uncultured bacterium. Its description in RNAcentral is "partial 16S ribosomal RNA". It matches the Rfam family "Bacterial small subunit ribosomal RNA", at positions 338 to 795 of the family's 1533-position model. The record is from RNAcentral.
CCUACGUGUGGCAGCAGUCGAGAAUCAUUCACAAUGGGGGAAACCCUGAUGGUGCGACGCCGCGUGGAGGAAUGAAGGUCUUCGGAUGGUAAAUUCCUGUCAUAUGGGAGCGAAGUAAACAGUUAGUACUACAAGAGGAAGAGACGGCUAAGUCUGUGCCAGCAGCCGCGGUAAUACAGAGGUUGCGAGCGUGGUGCGGACUCACUGGGCGUAAAGCGUGGGUAGGCAGUCUCGUAAGUCGUGUGUGAAAGGCGCGGGCGCAACCGGCGGACGGCAUAUGAGACUGGGUGACUAGAGUAAUGGAGGGGGCACCGGAAUUCUUGGUGUAGCAGUGAAAUGCGUAGAUAUCGAGAGGAACACUAGUGGCGAAGGCGGGUUCCUGGACAUUAACUGACGCUGAGGCACGAAGGCCAGGGGAGCGAAAGGGAUUAGAUACCCCUGUAGUC